Non-coding RNA from Plutella xylostella (diamondback moth), 2182 nucleotides. The record is from RefSeq and is a predicted model, not a curated record. Lineage: Eukaryota; Metazoa; Arthropoda; Insecta; Lepidoptera; Plutellidae.
AUAAUGAGAAAAAAAAAUAUAUAAGUAUUGGUGAUAGGCAAUAAAUAAUAUGCUGUCGUCGUCAAAACGGUGUCCACUCAGCUACUGCAGCGCCUUUGGUUGGUUUAAAGGACACUGCGCUGGUUUUCAGUGGAAGCCUUAUAGUGACGCACUACGCGUAGGUAGUUAAUAAAAAUCAAACGAAAACACGGGGGAAACAAAAACAAAGUGAAGUGCGCGAGCGACGACAUGGCGGAGCGCGUUCGCCCUGAAAUCUACUUUCAGGCAGGAGCGGCACACAUAGCCGGCCACACGUGUCGCGCGCGCACCGAGACAAAUAAUAAGAACGUGAUAAUAACACUAAUUAACAUCAAUAUAAAGUGAACAGAAACACGACACAUUAUAAUAACAUAAAGAAACAAUAAUGAUAAAUAACAUUAAGAAUUACGGUUCCAAGGACUAAAAUGAAAUGUCAAAGCGUGUAGAAGAAUAUUAUGAACGAUGAACGUGUGUGUGUAGCAGACAAUAAUGGGAAUGGGCCUGCAACCAUGCAAACGAAAUCCUACCUUGCGCAUCGUGGAUAAAAUUCAAACCACGUAUAGGGGGUGGGAGAUUAUUGAAGAUGUCGCUGGCAAGAUACUUAAAGCUAUGCCGAUACAUGGCUGAUUUGUGCUUGGGGGUGAGCAUCAGAUACGUGGAGGCCCUCGUGUUGAUGGUGUGGUGUUGGCGCGCCCAGUUCAGCUUAUCAUACAGAUAAUCUGGCGACUGAUGCUUCACGACGCCAAAGAGGAGAGUAGCCAGGUGCAACUUCCAUCUCGCCGCAAUCUUCAGCAGGUUUGACCUAUUUAGAAAGGGUGUAACAUGAGUGCGCGGGGGAAUGUUGAAGCAGAACCGAGCGCAGGCAUUCUGCACCCUUUGAACCAACCUUUCUGUUUUACGCAGUAAGCACGGUCCAUAUACAGUGUCGGCAUAGUUCAAUUUAGAUAGUACCAGUGAUUCGCACAACUGUAUACGGAGGGCUUCAUCGAUGUACGGUCUUAUGUUAUACAGAAGUUUAAGUCUGUAAAAACAAUUUGUAACCAUGUUUAUAACAUGUUUCUCGAAACGUAGGUUACUGUCAAACACAAGACCCAGGUUGCGCGCUUCUGUAACCCUUUCAAUAACCGUCCCAUUUAGUAUAAUGUUAGGGUUUUCUGCUAGGGUAUCUUUGACCUGCUUUUUGGUACCAAUUAUCAUAUACAUAGAUUUGUUCGGGUUAAGGUGAAGGGAGUUAUUAUUAGACCAGGUUGUAAUCCGCUCUAAGUCCUCAUUAAUGAGCUUACAUGUUAGCUCUGUCUCGUGUGGGGGGCAUGACAAGUAUAUUUGUAGGUCAUCUGCGUAGACAUGAAAACUACAGUUUUUCACCUCCAAAGCGAUGUCACAGGCGUACAGUAUAAAUAGUAGAGGUCCUAGGAUAGAUCCUUGUGGCACACCCCUGGUCACUGAAUAGUUCGCUGAUAAAAUAGUUGUACCAUUAGAUUUUCUCAACUUGACAAUCUGGGAUCUUCGAUCUAGGUAACUAAAGAACCAUCUCACCGUGCUGGGGUCAAAACCAUAAUAUGUCAAUUUUGCCAGCAGUAGCGGGACACUGAUCGUGUCAAAAGCGCGGGAAAAGUCGAGUAGUGUCAGUAUGGUGGAUUUACCCUUAUCUUGGGAUGCGAGAAUGUUAUCUACCACGUCUAAGAGUGCUGUCGUUGUACUUCUACCCUUGCGGAAUCCGGAUUGCACUGAUGGAAGGAUCUUGUUUUGUUCGAGAUAAUUGGACAUUUGGUGGUGUACUACUUUUUCUAGUAUCUUAGAUAGGGUAGAUAGUAGGCUAAUUGGUCGGAGAUCCUUAAAGUCCGUUGGGUCUGACUUUUUAGGAAUAGGGUUUACUAAUGCAAUUUUCCACUGAUCGGGGAAAAUUGAUGAAGUUAUGGAUUGAUUAAUGAUGAAAGUAAGGAUGUCUAAUGUGCGUGGAAGUGUGAGGAUUAGCAUAUCCAGUGAUAUUCCAUCAUAUCCUAGCGCAUUUGAUUUAAAUUUUUUAAUUAACCCGCUGACUACUUCUUCAGUUAUGGUUUGUAGUUUGAAGUUAUGUUGAUUGUGUUUAUUGCUUUCAUAGUAAAUAAUAUUAGAUAAAUUUAGACUGUUAUUACCGGGAAGAUUUAAAAAGUGUUGAUUAAUU